RNAcentral lists this ribosomal RNA (252 nucleotides) under uncultured bacterium. RNAcentral describes it as "partial 16S ribosomal RNA". It matches the Rfam family "Bacterial small subunit ribosomal RNA", at positions 524 to 776 of the family's 1533-position model. The record is from RNAcentral.
UACGUAGGGUGCAAGCGUUAAUCGGAAUUACUGGGCGUAAAGCGUGCGCAGGCGGCUUUGCAAGACAGAUGUGAAAUCCCCCGGGCUCAACCUGGGAACUGCAUUUGUGACUGCAUGGCUUGAGUGUGGCAGAGGGGGGUGGAAUUCCACGUGUAGCGUGAAAUGCGUAGAGAUGUGGAGGAACACCGAUGCGAAGGCAGGUCUCUGGGCAUUAACUGACGCUGAGGAGCGAAAGCAUGGGGAGCGAACAGG